GGUUAAGCGACUAAGCGUACACGGUGGAUGCCCUGGCAGUCAGAGGCGAUGAAGGACGUGCUAAUCUGCGAUAAGCGUCGGUAAGGUGAUAUGAACCGUUAUAACCGGCGAUUUCCGAAUGGGGAAACCCAGUGUGAUUCGUCACACUAUCAUUAACUGAAUCCAUAGGUUAAUGAGGCGAACCGGGGGAACUGAAACAUCUAAGUACCCCGAGGAAAAGAAAUCAACCGAGAUUCCCCCAGUAGCGGCGAGCGAACGGGGAGCAGCCCAGAGCCUGAAUCAGUGUGUGUGUUAGUGGAAGCGUCUGGAAAGGCGUGCGAUACAGGGUGACAGCCCCGUACACAAAAAUGCACAUACUGUGAGCUCGAUGAGUAGGGCGGGACACGUGGUAUCCUGUCUGAAUAUGGGGGGACCAUCCUCCAAGGCUAAAUACUCCUGACUGACCGAUAGUGAACCAGUACCGUGAGGGAAAGGCGAAAAGAACCCCGGCGAGGGGAGUGAAAAAGAACCUGAAACCGUGUACGUACAAGCAGUGGGAGCACGCUUAGGCGUGUGACUGCGUACCUUUUGUAUAAUGGGUCAGCGACUUAUAUUCUGUAGCAAGGUUAACCGAAUAGGGGAGCCGAAGGGAAACCGAGUCUUAACUGGGCGUUAAGUUGCAGGGUAUAGACCCGAAACCCGGUGAUCUAGCCAUGGGCAGGUUGAAGGUUGGGUAACACUAACUGGAGGACCGAACCGACUAAUGUUGAAAAAUUAGCGGAUGACUUGUGGCUGGGGGUGAAAGGCCAAUCAAACCGGGAGAUAGCUGGUUCUCCCCGAAAGCUAUUUAGGUAGCGCCUCGUGAAUUCAUCUCCGGGGGUAGAGCACUGUUUCGGCAAGGGGGUCAUCCCGACUUACCAACCCGAUGCAAACU
This 913-nucleotide ribosomal RNA is filed under the name Escherichia coli. RNAcentral describes it as "partial 23S ribosomal RNA". It matches the Rfam family "Bacterial large subunit ribosomal RNA", at positions 1 to 955 of the family's 2925-position model. Lineage: Bacteria; Pseudomonadati; Pseudomonadota; Gammaproteobacteria; Enterobacterales; Enterobacteriaceae. RNAcentral also lists the same sequence under 3 other names. The record is from RNAcentral.